Alligator sinensis (Chinese alligator) is the source of this 669-nucleotide long non-coding RNA. RefSeq lists it as uncharacterized. The transcript is spliced from 2 exons. NCBI's taxonomy places the organism in Eukaryota, Metazoa, Chordata, Crocodylia, Alligatoridae. The record is from RefSeq and is a predicted model, not a curated record.
GGCUGGAGUUUGUGCAGAGGUUUGGUGAGGUGAGGCUGGUAUUGGUUGGCAGAGCCUUGCUGAUCUAGUUACCCGAAGCUUGGCUUCCCCUACCCUCCUUACCAGCUGCAGUGAGGUUUUAAUUGGUGCCCUCCCCUUCUUUAGCGGUCUCCGAGUGGUUUCAAAGCUGUGCUGCUGCCACAAAGCACGGAGCAUGGGGCUCAGAUACAGCACAGACGAUGCAUUUGUUGUUUUCUACGUGAAAACUACGGGUCGUAAAGCUGUGGCAUCAACCAUCAAGGCAGAAAAGCUCCCAUGUGAGUCUGAGGUUCCUUCAGAUGCUGUGCCAAGGACUGAUGAAACGCUGCCUACAUCAGAAACCAACAUGGGAACUGGUGGGAUCCAGUCUGCUGCAGGAGCCCGAGAGCUGAAGGAUGAGGGGCCCCAAAGACCUGCUGUUUUCUCGGAGGACAAGGAGGAUGAGCAAGCACCUGCAGUGAACUAGGAAACUUUCUGAACUUUCAAAUGGAGAGUGUUGGGGAGUUCAGACACAGACCUGAGUAGCUGGAAUCGCAGCCAAAGGGCCAACUUCAUGUAACCAGGCCUUGAAGCUUCAGAGUUUAGCAGUGAUAGAUAUUUCCCAGUCUCAGGAAGGUAUGGUAACUGAAGAAGAUGAAAGCAGGGAGGCAA